AUUUUUCUUCUGAAGGUACUCUUCUCGCCUCCAUUUCACAUCGUCCGCUCUGCUUCCGAUUCAAUCUGGUCGUCUCUUCUCUUACGCUCUCUACUUCUUCUUGCAACACACCAUGUCGGCACUUCCGAAGAUUCUACAAUUACAUCGCGAAGCUCUACGAAUACGGCGAGCAACUCAACAACUCCAAAGAACAAAUCUCAGGUCAGUCUCACCUCUAUAUUUUCAAUCCGCUAAUUUAAUUGCUCUUCUUUAUUUAUUUAGGGUUUUAGAUUGUACGUUUUGUUGUUCGAGUUUUCUUUCAAUUAGGGUUUUUGACCGUCAUUCUCUCUCCGUUUCUCUUUUAAACAAACACUCAAAUCUUUAGGGAUUUUGUGUAUUGUGUUUUUACUCGACUGAAGAAAUACCUACUUAUUUGAUCUACUUUGCAACUGAUGACACCUUUUUAGCACAGGUGAUACCCUGAAUGCAUUGAAUCCUAAAUGUUCUUCAUUGUUUGUUAAUUAGGUCAAAGUGUUAUGGAGCUUAAAUGAUUUGCAUCGCUUAGCUUAAUAGGUCUGUGUGAGGCAAUUGCUAACAAACAUGGAGUUUAGUGACUUAAUUUUCAUCCAAAGCUUCCUUCAUUUUGGGGCAAUUUUGGUGUUUGAUUUGGUGCUUAAAGCAUCUUUUUAUGUAGAAGGUGGGUGGUUUUGUCUUUACUCUGUAAGGCUUUUGUUUAUUUGAUAAUUGGCUGAUCAAAGUUUUGCUUAUCUUUAGGGUAACAAUAAUACCUAAUUCAAGAGUCCAUUUUGUGACUCAAAUGGUGUGAAUGAAUGUAAAAAAAGAGUAAAGUGCUAGACCAAGAACAAUAUUGAGUAGUGAUUUCACGGACACUUCUGAUCCGCCUAUCAUCGUGAACCCUUAUGAGCACCGUCGUGAUUGUGAGCGCUGUUAAGAACUAUACACUACAGUUUCCAAUUUGUAACAGCCUUGCAACAUCACCAGCCGUUUUGUUCCGUUAGAAGAUUUGAGACCACGGUUGCAACAACUCAGUUUCACAUGUGACUCAUUUGUAUUCAAAGGUUAGUUGUGUUUCCCUUUACCCACUCAGUUAUGCUUCUGAUUAUUUUGAGGUUUUGCUUUUGGUGUUAGAAAUAAUUGCCAAAUAAAAAAAUUAUGUAUGAUGUAUAUUCUAGUGGAAGGUUUAUCAUUAUGUUAGUAAAAACAAGGUAUUAUAUGAUUUGUUUGUAGAUAAAAAAACUGAUUAUAAUUUGUGUGUAGAUGAUGACCUUUAUAUUGUGAUUGUUGAUGUUGGCACAACUUAGACGCCUUUCUUAUGUGUGUUAAAAUGAUAUGAAAAUAUAAGCUAAUAGGUUUUGAAAAGUUAGCAAACUUUAUUGAACUCAUCCUCUGAUAGUUGAUGUCCAUGCCUCAAUUUGGUGUGGUACAAAACAAGUCUAUCAUGAACUUCUGUACUGAUGGGUUAACUAAGUUUUUAUCUUGGUUGAGUAAUUAAUUUCAUUGCUCUUUGGUUUGGUCUCUUUCUCUCUAAAGGAUCUUGAUUGAUUUUCAUAGGUUUUUACUUAGUAUUGAUGGUCCUUUUGCUUUUAAUUUAUUCAUGAGGUACUAAAUGUGUUCUGCUCACUCUGUAAUUAUGUGUAAGACUGGAAAUUUGUUUUAUCCAUGGAGUACUAAUUGUGUUGUGUUGAAAUCAUUCUUACAGUUGGAUAAAUUUGACAGCACUAUGUUAAUUCAGUCACAUAUUUUGCUAAUUACUAACAUUUGAUUUUGAAAUGGUUUCAGAGAGCUGCAUAAACUUUGGAAAAGCUGGAUGAAUAGUUAAGAAUUGCUUCUCUGCAUGAUGAGGCGAGGGAUCUGUAUAAAUUUUGUUAGAACCGGAAGAAUAUACUAAACUUAUUUCUAUUUAAUGAAGAGGGAGAUCAACCCCUUAUUGACACUUUCACUUCUUUUUUUUUGUCUACAACCUUCGUAUGAAUGAAGGUUGAAAUAUGUGCAUAUGUAUAAUAUUACAAACAUUUGAAUGAAUAAAAGAGUUAAUAUAUUUGUCUCUUG
This 2049-nucleotide long non-coding RNA is filed under the name Trifolium pratense (red clover). RNAcentral describes it as "long non-coding RNA (TPRA_LNC002844)". Lineage: Eukaryota; Viridiplantae; Streptophyta; Magnoliopsida; Fabales; Fabaceae. The record is from RNAcentral.